AACGAACGCUGGCGGCAUGCCUAACACAUGCAAGUCGAACGAGACCUUCGGGUCUAGUGGCGCACGGGUGCGUAACGCGUGGGAACCUGCCCUUAGGUUCGGAAUAACUCCCCGAAAGGGGUGCUAAUACCGGAUAAUGUCUUCGGACCAAAGAUUUAUCGCCUUUGGAUGGGCCCGCGUUGGAUUAGCUAGUUGGUAGGGUAAAAGCCUACCAAGGCGACGAUCCAUAGCUGGUCUGAGAGGAUGAUCAGCCACACUGGGACUGAGACACGGCCCAGACUCCUCCGGGAGGCAGCAGUGGGGAAUAUUGGACAAUGGGCGAAAGCCUGAUCCAGCACUGCCGCGUGAGUGAUGAAGGCCUUAGGGUUGUAAAGCUCUUUUACCCGGGAUGAUAAUGACAGUACCGGGAGAAUAAGCUCCGGCUAACUCCGUG
This 433-nucleotide ribosomal RNA is filed under the name uncultured bacterium. RNAcentral describes it as "partial 16S ribosomal RNA". It matches the Rfam family "Bacterial small subunit ribosomal RNA", at positions 29 to 507 of the family's 1533-position model. The record is from RNAcentral.